AGCUUUGUUACUAUAGUUGGAUCUUAUGGUGUUUUCCCCUCUACCUUCUUGUGAUGAAUUGAGUAUUACCUUUGAGUUUUGACUAUUAUCAGAUUGAAUACUAUUGGAUUUGAGAACACUUGAUGUAUGUCUUUUGUGAGAUGCCCGUGGUGACAAUGGGGUAUUCUAUUGAUUCACUUGUUGUAUGUUUUGGCACUCAACUUGUGGAUUCUCGAGGUGACAUUGGCAUAAUAUAUGCAUAGGGGUUGAUGCACGUUUUCGUCCUUGUUUCUCGGGUAGAAAUCUUGGGGCGCUCUUUGAGGUUCUUUAUGUUGGAUUGAAUAUUAUGAAUCUGAAGUUGUUUGAAGCAUAUCGUAUAGUUGACCCAUGGAUACUUUUGGUGACAUUGGAGUAUUUAGGUGACAUUAGGGUUCAUUGAUGUGUGUCAUAUGGUGUUAUUUUACUACAAACUCUUGGGCUAUUUGUGAUACUUAUAGGAAUAGCCCAAUGGAUUGAUCGGAAAGAAUAACUUUGAGGUGGUUUCAUACCCUACAAGCAAUUUCAUCUUAUGUUCUCCGUGAUAGGAACUUUGGAGUGACUUUUGUUGCAUGUUGAGGGAUUGUUAUAUGAUCCAAUUAUGUUAUCAUUGUUGAGAGAACUUGCGCUAGUGAAAGUAUGAACCCUAGGCCUUGUUUUCAAGCAUUGCAAUACCAUUUUCGCUCACUUUAACUACUAGUUAGCUUGCUGUUUUUAUAUUUUCAUAUUACAAAAACCUAUAUCUACCAUCCAUAUUGCACUUGUAUCACCAUCUCUUCGCCGAACUAGUGCACCUAUACAAUUUACCAUUGUAUUGGGUGUGUUGGGGACACAAGAGAAUCUUUGUUAUUUGGUUGCAGGGUUUUUUGGGGGAGACCAUCUUCAUCCUAUGCCUCCCACGGAUUGCUAAACCUUAGGUCAUCCACUUGAGGGAAAUUUGCUACUGUCCUACAAAACUCUGCGCUUGGAGGCCCAACACGAGUCUACAAGAGGAAGGUUGCGUAGUAGACAUCAGCUACGGGGGUGCUGAAUCCAUGGCGAAGGCAGUUCGGUGCAGCUAGGAGAACAGAGGAGCGGCACGGGCGGAGGGGCAAAUGGGCUAGGGUUUGGCUGGGUGGAUGCGGCAGCAUUCUUAUCCCCUCGACGGUCCAGUAGCAUAAUCGUCGUGAGCAUCGAGCCAGGGUAGCCGCGGAAGCGCGCCAUGCCAUGGCCUCUGAUCACACAUCACCCUCGAAUAAAAUUAUAGUGUCAGAAUGGACACAUCAUUAUCCUUGUAAUUUCUAUCAAGCCCACUAAUCAAUCCCUGUUCAACAGCCCUGUCACAUAGAAUCUCUGGGAUAUCUACAGCAAGAUCAAAUUGCAAAAGAGACAUAGAAUCCGCCUGCCGCAGACCCCUACCACAGAGGAGACAUAGAAUAUCUACAACAAUAGGACCUAUCUCCCCAUUAACGUUGACUGCCACUUUUCCCCCCGAUACAGUCUUCAUUGCCAAAUCAAUCUAUUUGUCUGGGAAUUUUUUCAUCUUAAGGGUUUGCAAAAGGAAAGGCCAUUUAACCUUGUCAAAGGCAUUCUCAAAAUCAAUCUUCAAGAGAACACCAGACAUUUUUUUGUGCGUAGAAUUCAAAGUCUCAUUCAAAACAAGUACACCCUCUAAAAUAUAUUUACCUUUUAUAAAAGUGGUUUUGGAGGACUUGAUAACUCCAGUAAUUAUAAGGAUUUGUCUAUUCACCAGAAUCUAGGUAAAAAUCUUUAAAAAAAACUUUAAAAGACAAAUUGGUCUAAACUUUUGAAUCAUGUCUACAUCACUCCCUUUGGGUAAAAGAGAGAUUACUCCAUAGUUUAGCCUACCAAGGUCUAAUCUAUGAUCAUAAAAUUCUUCCAAUAAUGCAAAUAAGUCCAGUUUAACCAAAUUGCAAAAAUGCUGAUAAAAUUCAAUAUUAAAACCAUCAGGCCCACACGCUUUAUUUUUCUCCAUACCAAAGACAGCUUCCUUCAACUCUUCCAUAGUGAAUUUCUUAGUAAGGAUUUUUUUUUCCUCCUCACUAAGUGUUUCCACACCAUCGUGGUUUAGUUCCAAGGAUUGAAUUUCAGAUUCACUAAAUAAGUUUUGAUAUAAUUUGGUAAUGUAAUCCUUCAAGUUAUCCUGCCCCUCAAUCACUCCUUCAUCUUGUAGCAACUUCACAAUCCUACUUUUUCUGAAUCUCCCAUUCGCCUUAACAUGAUAGUCUUUAGUAUUUGAGUCUCCUUCAAAUAAUUCUUUAUAAUGAGAUCUUUGUAACCAUUUAGUUUCCUCAUCUUUCAGAAUAAAUAUCAAAUUAUCUCGGCAUUCUUUUUUAUAGCUCCUUUUUCUCCUCAUUUAAAAUAUCACUUUCCCCUAACUUGUCUAGCCUAUCAAUUUCCUCCAUCAAAUUUUCUUCUAUCUUCUAUUAAAAGCCUCAACAUUCAGAUUCCAACGUUUCAACACUUUUCUAAGAUUUCUCAGCUUAUUCAAAUUUUGUCCAGAAGGGUUUUUCCAAGAUAAUCUUUUUUCCACACCUUUUCAACUAUCUCAUCCAAGUAUGUCGGAACCAACAAUUCUCAAAUUUGAAAAUGUAUGGUCUCACAGGAGGCUCUCGAGAUUUGAUAAGCAAAGGAGUUUGAUUAGAGAGCUGCCUAGAUAAAUCUUCAGUAUGCACUAAAGGAAAAUUUCCUUCCCAAGAAGGAGAGACCAACACUCUAUCCAAUAAUGAUUAAGUCGGGUCCUGAUGAUUAUUGGACCAUGUGUAUUUUGUCCUCAUAAGCUAGGUCCCACCUGUCAGCCAAAGAGAACAAAUCAUAGAAAUAAUAAAUGAAAACCGCUGCUUUUUUAGGGUUCAAACCGACAGCCUCGUUGAAACCUGCAGAUGGUGCUCACCAAACGACCUGGCAAAUUUUAUUGUCAUAUAUGGACACAAACUCUUAAUAUUCUUUAACCCGACCAAUAUAAAUUAAAUUCUUAAUCCGAAGGAAAGGAAGUAGCGGGCGUACCAAAAACUUCCCUGUGUGUUAAAAAAACCUUCCCGGAGCGUGCGGGAAGGCUACAAGACCAAUGUGUUUUAAAGUCCUAAGAGCAUACACACAGUUUAUAUCCUUUCUAUUUUAAUCCGAAUUGAGAGGAAGUAGCAUAACUUAAAAACGCAUAUUAUAUGAAAAAAUAUUGGUUGAACUUAAAAAAUAUUAAUGAAUUAUAAAAACGGUAGCAUAAUUUAAAUAAUGUCCAGUUGACGAUCUGCAAAUUGUGUGAACACUAGGCUCAUUAUUUUAUUAAAAAUAGAAUAUGUUUUGAAACACACAUAAACUUUAUUAAAACAAAUGAACAUUUUUUAAGACAACAUAAAAAAAAUUAAAGGUUCUUUAUACACUACAUGAUUAUUUUAUUAAAAUCAUGAAUUUUUUUAAGCUCAUAUGAGAAUUUAUUUAAUUAUAUGAAAAAAUUAGAAUUACUUUAUUAUUUUUAUUAAAUAUGUAAAUUGUUGUAUGAAAGUUUUAAAUUCAUAAUUAAAUUAUGUGGAUAUAUGUGAAUGGAUAUUUUCUAAAUUAAUAAGUGAACAUUUUCAUAAUUUAAUAUAUUUAAUUUUUAUGUAUGACAUUUAAAACGCAUGAUUAUAAUUUACAUGUGUUUUGCAAUUUCUGAAGAAAAAACUAACACCUCAAAAUGGGUCGCAAUGGCAGUGUUCUGUUUAAGGCUAAACACCAUAAAGUCAGUGUAUCCAAAUAGCACAUCAAAAUUCAUUUGGUCGGGUGUUUAUCGACACAUGUUUUAACGCUGAGGUCGCGCGUUCGAACCAUGAAGUGCACCGUAUAUGCACGCCUGAGCCAUGUUUUGGCACCCAUUCAAUGUAUGCCACAAGUUUUAGUACUAAAGUGACUUUUCUUUCACGCCAAGUUCAAGCAUCAGUGGUGUAAUUGACUCAUUCCGGACCUUCCUGCCCCUACGUGUGUUAUGAGAAGAUAGGUCGACGGCCUCUGGCGAUGAUGGCCCGACACGUCUCUGGAAACGCCUUUGGCGACAUCGAUACGUAGAGAUGGCCGGCGUGGUUCGUCGUGGAUCUCCGAGAAGCGAGCGUGCUCAGGUACCACCGAGGUGAGGUGGUGCUGUGUGCGCACCCGCCGAUGGUGCGCCUCAUUGAUGUGCGUGGCUGCAUGAUGGAUUCGCGUGCUGGUGGGGGUCGUGUUGGCCCCUGGUGCCACGGCCGUUUUCCCGUGUCAUGUCGCGCACAUCAAGGAGGAGCGGUGCGACUGGGGGGACGCCUCGGGAGCCGGCAAGGGAGGAAGUGCGGCCGAUGGAGAAAUAAAUCCGGGCUGGAAAUCUGUGAGCGCACUCCUGCUUCCUCCUACCUACCUCAUCUUGUUCCGCAUACUGCGUCUGCUCCUCUCCCAACAGGCGUCUGCGGCGAGGGAGGUGAUGGAGAUCGACGAGGAGAAGUUGCUGAGGUUUGUAGGCAGGGAUGCACGCUAGAGAGCUCGCCUGCGAGAGAUCGGAUCGUGGUAUACACAAGCAAUAAAGUGAUGUACGUGGAGGCGAAGGUGACUUACGAGGGUUUGACAAUGGCAGAGGAGCGGUCGCUCUUCAGGCGGGGGAGGCGCAAGCACCCGCUGGAGGUCCUGAUGUGGGAGAUGGACCAGGCGGACUCUCCGGUGAGGGUCGUGGCGAGGACGUGGGUGGCGUUCACCUCAUUUAAGACUGCGGGCCUCGCCUCAGCCAUGAGAGAAUCGACUCUCAGAUCUCGCGAGGGGGUCCUGGCGCUUCCUGCUCCAGGCUUCGCCAUGGCCCCAAUUGUGACACACGAUGACGCGGCAGAGCAUCCGCCGCAGGUGGUGGCCCAGAUGCCACGCUGCUCCGCUCGACUCGCACCGCCUCCACCAACUCCGAGGCCAUGCCGAUCGGCACGCAUCGCCGGAAUUGAUGCCUGAAUCCUUGACUAGCCAGCAACCGCUUCUGGGGCUGGCUAGUGAGGAUUCAGACGACGAUUGUGACAGGGAUGUCGUCAUUUCAGGUACUAUCAAUCAUCAUGUGCCUGUUUCCAUACCUCAUGUACAUUAAUCUGGGGGGACUCAUGAAAUUGAUAUGCAAUGCUGAAUUAGGUGGAUGAAUUGUAGAAUGGAGGAAAAACUAAAUCCAUACAUUUAGAGCUUGUUCUUAAAAAGGGAUGAAAUAAUAGAUGAGAGACAGAAUAGGAAAAUUCUGAUUGAUUGUUAGGAAAAAUGUACUUCUAUUGAUUCCACUAAUUGGGGGAAACAUCAUAAUAGUGAAAUAUGAGCAGAAACACCAGAGGUUCUGGGGUUAAAAUUGCUUCUGUUAUAAAAACUUUGGAAUCUUCUGCUUGGAAGAAAAAGAAAAUAUGAGAGGCAUUUUCUGGAAUACGAGAGGUUUUGGGGGGCAUCAAAAAACGAUUUCUUAGGGAAAUGAUAAUGGAUAAAAAGGUUGACUUCCGGGGUCUGCAAGAGACCAUGAGACAACAGUUUUUCUAGAACUGGCCUGCAACAAGUUUGUGCUGGCAGAGACUUUCACUAGCAUUUCACCCCUGCUAGGGGGAAAUCUAGUGGAUCUUGCUCGGGGUUAAUUAAUUACACCACUUUAGAUGUAAUCUCUCAAGAUGAAGGAGACUAUCAUAUUAAAAUGACUACUCAAGAUUUAAAAAUCAGGCUGAUUUGGGGCCUAGUAGUUAUAUAUGGAGAUGCUCAGCCAGAAGGAAAAGCAGCUUUUCUGGCUGAGCUAUCUAGAAUUUUUCAACACAACAUCAAUCCCAUACUGAUUGGGGUGACUUUAAUAUUAUUAGAAAUGCUAAUGAGAAAAACAAACCAGGCUCUCCUGGGCAUUGGAGUUUCUUGUUUAAUGCCAUCCUGGAGUAGGUUGGGUUAGGGAACUUGAGAUGCAUGGAAGAUAAUUCACAUGGGGGAAUAACUUGCCUAUUCCCACAUUUGAAAAAUUAGAUAGAAUCUUAUGCAGCACAGAGUGGGAAGAGACAUACCCUUUAACUCAGAUUGCUGCAUUGACUAGAGAGAAAUCUGAUCAUACCCCUCUAUUCUUGGACUCUGGGGACAUGCAGAAAACUGAUCCUAUUUUCAGGUUUGAAAAUGCUUGGUUCCUGAGGGAGGGGAUUGACAAAAUUAUCCAUGAUGUUUGGAAUGAUCCAAGCAUUAGUGGUGAUAGUGUAGAUAGACUUCUGGGUAAAUUUAGGUUGCUUAGACCCAAACUUAAAGACUGGAAGAGAAAUAUGAGUGCACGUUAUACAGAGUUGAAAAAAUAUAUUAUGAUAAGACUGGAUAUAAUUGAUAAGCACUGUGAAAAAAUGGUCAUACAGCUGCUGAUAGAGAAGAGCAAAUGGAAUUGAGAGCUCAACUUGAUAGACUUCUUCAACAAGAACAAGCCAAGUGCAAACAGAGAGCUAAAGUGGAUGAAAUUCUAGAGGGAUAUAGUAAUACCAAAUUCUUCCAUGCCAAACCUAAUGGGAGACAUAGAAGAAAUAGAAUGAACAGGCUGGAACAAGAUGAAUGCGAGAUAGAAGGAGAUACAAACUUGAUGGAGUAUAUCACUCUCUUCUACAAAAAUCUCUUUGGUCCACCUGAUGAUUCUUUUGUAUCUCUUAAUGUAGAUAAUGCAAAAAAGAUACCUACAAAGUAUAGUGAAACACAGAUUGAUAAAUUCGCUUUAGAAGAAAUUAAAGAUGUGGUUUUUAAGAUGGCAUAUAACAACUCACCUGGGCAUGAUGAAUUCACUUUUGAAUUUUAUCAACAUUACUGGGAGUUGGUGAAAGAUGAUCUUAAAGCCCUCUUAGAUGAUUUUGUAGAAAGAAAAGUGUAUAUUAAUAGAUUGAACUAUGGGAUUUUCACAUUGGUUCCUAAGGGGAAAGAAGCCAACAAAAAACUAAAGUUUAGACCUAUAUGUCUACUGAAUGUGAGCUUCAAAAUUAUCACAAAAAUUCUAAUGAAGAGACAAAACCUAGUGGUUGUUGAAGUCAUAUCGCCUGUUCAAACGCUUUCAUUAAGGGCAGUUAUAUUAUGGAGGGAGUCUUGGUACAUCAUGAAGCUUUAAACAGUAUACAUAAGAAGAAACAUAGUGCUUUCUUGUUGAAAAUAGAUUUUGAAAAAGCAUAUGACAAAAUAAAAUGGUCCUUUCUUUUCCAGAUAUUCAAAAUAAAGGGGGUUCCUGGACAAAUGGAUAGACUGGGUAAUGGGGACUAUUAGGGGGGAAGGUGUGUGUCAAAGUGAAUGAUACUUUGGGCAAAUAUUUUCCUACUCAUAAGGGUUUGAGAUAGGGGGACUCUCUGUCCCCCCUUAAUUUUGACCUAGCUGUUGAUGCAUUGGCCAUUAUGCUGGAUAAUGCAAGAAGAAAUGGUUUAGUGAAAGGGUUGCUUAAUGAAAAUGUUCCAAAUGGGGUAAAUAUGUUACAAUAUGUAGAUGAUACCAUCUUCUCGUUGCAAGACGAUAUAGAAACCUCCAGAAAUAAACCUAGAUUAGGAGUUUUGCCGCCGCAAGCCUCUGUAGCCAUGAAAAACCUCUCAAGACCCUGUUCUGACACCCUGCUGGAGGGGGGAAUCAUCACCGGUGGACAUCUUCAUCAUCCUGGCGCUCUCCAUGACGAGGAAGGAGUAGUUCACCCUCAGGGCUGAGGGUAUGUACUAGUAGCUAUGUGUUUGAUCUCUCUCUCUCUCUCUCUCUGUCUCCCUCUCUCUCUCUCUCGUGUUCUUGAUUUGGCACGAUCUUGAUGUGCCGUGAGCUUUGUUACUAUAGUUGGAUCUUAUGGUGUUUUCCCCUCUACCUUCUUGUGAUGAAUUGAGUUUUACCUUUGAGGUUUGACUAUUAUCAGAGUGAAUACUAUUGGAUUUGAGAACACUUGAUGUAUGUCUUUCGUGAGAUACCCGUGGUGACAAUGGGGUCUUCUAUUUAUUCACUUGAUGUAUGUUUUGGCACUCAACUCAUGGAUUCCCGAG
Molecule: long non-coding RNA, 7967 nt
Filed under: Triticum aestivum (bread wheat)
Lineage: Eukaryota; Viridiplantae; Streptophyta; Magnoliopsida; Poales; Poaceae
Description: long non-coding RNA (TAES_LNC003853)
Source: RNAcentral